CACUACAAAAAAACGCUAGAUUUAGCUACGGAAUUAGCUACGGAAUUAUUUCCGUAGCUAUUCUGUGACGGAAUUACAACGGAUUAGCUACGGAAAUAAUUUGUUGAAUUUAGCUACGGAUUUAAAGACGGAUUUCCGUAGCAAUACUUUUGCUACGGAUGUAUUCCGUCAUUAAAGUAAAAAAAAUUACUAAUUUUUGUUAAAAAAAUUUAGCUACGGAAUAACCGUAGUUAAAUCCGUAGCUAAACUAAAAUUUAAUUCGUAGCUACGGACUCCGUCCGUAGCGGGAUAUUGUGACUUAUUAGCUACGGAAUGUCCGUAGCAAAAUCCGUAGCUAAGACCAAAUUUCAAAACUAAAGGUGCAGCCGCGUUUUCCUUCUGAUUUUUCCCUCAUUGCAAACCUAGCGUUUCUCACUCUUCCAGCGCCGUUCAUCCUCGCCGCGCCGUGGUUGCUCCGCCGUUUCUCUCAAAAUCAUCGGCGCCGCCACCGUGCUCGCUCACCGUCGCAGCCGCCGUCAGUUUCUAAGCCGUGAAAAUUUUGGAGAAACGCAAGCAAGAGUGUGGUGGGAAGGAAACAGAGCCAGGAUUCAACAGCAAUACAUGAACAAUUGGACAUACUAUCCAGCUGGGCUCCAAACCCUCCGAGUUUAUGAGAAACAGGGAAGAUGUUGUUGCUCUAUUUGAUUUAUACAAAGACGAGGCUUAUAUCCUGACAGAGCUUGAAGGAAGAUAUUGUGUGGCACUGAAAGAGAGGUCAUCCCCACAAGACAUGCUGAGGUCAUUGUAUCAGGUUUGUUAUUUGUACUGGUUGGAGAGAAAUGCUGGAAUAAAGUCGAGCAGUAUCGUAGAUGAUUGCAGAGGCGGGGGAAAGCUUCAGAUAUCCUUGGAUUAUGUACAAAGGGAAUUCAACCAUGUCAAAAAGGAUAGUGAGAUUGCAGGUUGGGUUGUAGAUGGCCUCAUUGCGAGGCCUCUUCCUAAUCGAGUUCGGGUAGGCGAUGAAACCGCAUCUUCUGCUGGCUGACCUAUGGAGCAACAAAAUGGUAAUCCUUUACACCAUAUACUGAUGAUGGCAAGAAUAGUUGAAGAAUACAAAGAGUGUAUACUGAAAAAAGCUUCAGUUAGGUAGUGGUGUCGAAUUUGUAAUAGUCUAAUGUAGAGGUAGCUGAUGCACUUCUUGCUCAUCUAACUGCGCUUCACCUUCUCUUGGGUUGUUCCCAAUCUCACACCAUGUACAUGUUUCUGUGAUGUUGAUGCUCUAUACAACGAUUCUUGAUUUCUGAUUCAAACAAA
This is a long non-coding RNA of Salvia miltiorrhiza (redroot sage), 1290 nucleotides long. RefSeq lists it as uncharacterized. The transcript has 5 exons. Lineage: Eukaryota; Viridiplantae; Streptophyta; Magnoliopsida; Lamiales; Lamiaceae. The record is from RefSeq and is a predicted model, not a curated record.